GCAUUCGUAGCUCAGUUGGAUUAGAGCGCAUCCCUCCGAAGGAUGAGGUCGCAGGUUCAAUUCCUGUCGAGUGCGC
Molecule: transfer RNA, 76 nt
Filed under: Haploplasma axanthum
Lineage: Bacteria; Bacillati; Mycoplasmatota; Mollicutes; Acholeplasmatales; Acholeplasmataceae
Description: Acholeplasma axanthum tRNA-Arg(ccg)
Rfam family: tRNA
About the family: Transfer RNA (tRNA) molecules are approximately 80 nucleotides in length. Their secondary structure includes four short double-helical elements and three loops (D, anti-codon, and T loops).
Source: RNAcentral